This 253-nucleotide ribosomal RNA is filed under the name uncultured bacterium. RNAcentral's name for it is "partial 16S ribosomal RNA". It matches the Rfam family "Bacterial small subunit ribosomal RNA", at positions 524 to 776 of the family's 1533-position model. The record is from RNAcentral.
UACGUAGGGUGCGAGCGUUGUUCGGAAUCACUGGGCGUAAAGGGCGUGUAGGCGGUCAAGUAAGUGGAAUGUGAAACGCCUCGGCUUACCCGAGGACCUGCAUCCCAAACUGCUUGGCUUGAGUAUGGGAGAGGAUGAGGGAAUUCCUGGUGUAGCGGUGAAAUGCGUAGAUAUCAGGAGGAACACCGGUGGCGAAAGCGCUCAUCUGGCCCAAUACUGACGCUGAGGCGCGAAAGCUAGGGGAGCAAACGGG